AUUGAACGCUGGCGGCAGGCCUAACACAUGCAAGUCGAGCGGAUGAAGGGAGCUUGCUCCUGGAUUCAGCGGCGGACGGGUGAGUAAUGCCUAAGAAUCUGCCUGGUAGUGGGGGAUAACGUCCGGAAACGGGCGCUAAUACCGCAUACGUCCUGAGGGAGAAAGUGGGGGAUCUUCGGACCUCACGCUAUCAGAUGAGCCUAGGUCGGAUUAGCUAGUUGGUGGGGUAAAGGCCUACCAAGGCGACGAUCCGUAACUGGUCUGAGAGGAUGAUCAGUCACACUGGAACUGAGACACGGUCCAGACUCCUACGGGAGGCAGCAGUGGGGAAUAUUGGACAAUGGGCGAAAGCCUGAUCCAGCCAUGCCGCGUGUGUGAAGAAGGUCUUCGGAUUGUAAAGCACUUUAAGUUGGGAGGAAGGGCAGUAAGAUAAUACCUUGCUGUUUUGACGUUACCAACAGAAUAAGCACCGGCUAACUUCGUG
RNAcentral lists this ribosomal RNA (484 nucleotides) under uncultured bacterium. RNAcentral describes it as "partial 16S ribosomal RNA". It matches the Rfam family "Bacterial small subunit ribosomal RNA", at positions 30 to 507 of the family's 1533-position model. The record is from RNAcentral.